ACGCACGCUGGCGGCGUGCUUCACCCAUGCAAGUCGAACGGAAAGGCCCUGCUUGCAGGGUACUCGAGUGGCGAACGGGUGAGUAACACGUGGGUGAUCUGCCCUGCACUUCGGGAUAAGCCUGGGAAACUGGGUCUAAUACCGGAUAGGAGCCAUUUUUAGUGUGAUGGUUGGAAAGUUUUUUCGGUGUAGGAUGAGCUCGCGGCCUAUCAGCUUGUUGGUGGGGUAAUGGCCUACCAAGGCGGCGACGGGUAGCCGGCCUGAGAGGGUGGACGGCCACAUUGGGACUGAGAUACGGCCCAGACUCCUACGGGAGGCAGCAGUGGGGAAUAUUGCACAAGGGGCGCAAGCCUGAUGCAGCGACGCCGCGUGGGGGAUGACGGCCUUCGGGUUGUAAACUCCUUUCGCUAGGGACGAAGCUUUUUGUGACGGUACCUAGAUAAGAAGCACCGGCUAACUACGUG
Molecule: ribosomal RNA, 464 nt
Filed under: uncultured bacterium
Lineage: Bacteria
Description: partial 16S ribosomal RNA
Rfam family: Bacterial small subunit ribosomal RNA
Source: RNAcentral